CUACGGGGGGCAGCAGCAGGGAAUAUUGCACAAUGGACGGAAGUCUGAUGCAGCGACGCCGCGUGGAUGAUGAAGGCCCUCGGGUUGUAAAAUCCUUUUCAGGGGGACGAGGAAGGACGGUACCCUUGGAAUAAGCGUCGGCUAACUACGUGCCAGCAGCCGCGGUAAGACGUAGGACGCAAGCGUUAUCCGGAUUUACUGGGCGUAAAGCGUCUGUAGGCGGAAUGGUAAGUUGGACGUGAAAGCUCCGGGCUCAACCCGGAGAGGUCGUUCAAUACUGCCAAACUAGAGGGCAUCAGAGGAGCGUGGAAUUUCCGGUGUAGCGGUAAAAUGCGCAGAUAUCGGAAGGAACACCAAUGGCGAAGGCAGCGCUCUGGGAUGAACCUGACGCUAAGAGACGAAAGCUAGGGGAGCGAACAGGAUUAGAUACCCGCGUAGUC
Molecule: ribosomal RNA, 440 nt
Filed under: uncultured bacterium
Lineage: Bacteria
Description: partial 16S ribosomal RNA
Rfam family: Bacterial small subunit ribosomal RNA
Source: RNAcentral